Long non-coding RNA from Trichomycterus rosablanca, 517 nucleotides. RefSeq lists it as uncharacterized. The transcript is spliced from 3 exons. The record is from RefSeq and is a predicted model, not a curated record. NCBI's taxonomy places the organism in Eukaryota, Metazoa, Chordata, Actinopteri, Siluriformes, Trichomycteridae.
CAAAAUCCAGAAACAGAGACAGAGUGUGGUUAGAUAUAAAAUGGCAGCAGAUCAAAAACGCAGCAGCAAAUCCAAAGUGUAAAUUUACACAGGCACAUACAGGUCGUACACAGAAACAAAUCACCAGAGAACACACACACACACAAAAACUUACUUGGUCUGAGUUGUCGGCAAGGCUUUGCAGAGCUUUUUGCAAAAGUAAACUUGUCUUUUGUGAAGUGGAACCUUUGUUAAACUAAAUGGACGAACAUUUUCUUUCUCAUUAUGCUAUUUUUGAGUAGCAUGUACACCAGUCUGAUGGGACUUUUUCAUCUUCCGUCUAAUUUUGAGAGCUGCAGCCAAACGUUAAGAAAUCAGCUUGCUGUGUGAAACUGAGUACAGGUUCAUGGUUACUGUGAAGAGCUGUUUGUGUUUCAUCAGAACUUUAUAUACAGCUUGUACAGUUUUUAAGAUGUUUUAUUGACAUGUUGUAUUUUAAGUAAAUACUUCUGAAGUGAAAUAAAGAAAAAUAAUGUUA